GAGGGUGCUGGGGAAGAAGGUGGUGGUGGUGGCGGCGGAGUUUCACAGGGUUUGGGGGGCGGUGGAGAUGAAGGCAUAGGUGGGGGCGGUGACUGAUACUGGUAAGGCGGCGAAGGUGGCGGAGAGGGGGGUGGUGGUGAUGCAUAAUGGUAAGGCGGCGAAGGUGGUGGAGGUGAAGGUGAUGGCGGAGGCUUAUAGUGGACUGGUGGUGGUGGAGAUGGUGACGGCGGCGGUGGUGAGGGAGGUGGCGGCAUGUAAUAUACCGGUGGUGGCGGUGGAGGUUCUAUGCACGGAGGUGGUGAUGGUGGCGGUGGAGGUUCUAUGCAUGGAGGUGGUGAUGGUGGCGGUGGAGGCUCAAUACACGGAGGUGGAGGAGGAGGUGAAUUAGGUGGUGGAGGCGGCGAGUACAGUGGAGGUGGGGGAGGUGAUGGAUAGUGAUAUGUAGGUGGUGGCGGUGAAUUAGGUGGCGGAGGUGGUGAAUGAGGUGGUGGAGGCGGCGAAGGUUGAGGUGGUGGUGGUGAUGGGUAAGGAGGCGGCGGAGAAUAAUGUGGGCUGGGUGGUGGGGGAGGCGGAAAAUAGACCGGAGGCGGCGGCGAGUUGGGCGGCGGAGGUGGUGGAGACCGAACACAGUAGACGGGCGGAG
Molecule: long non-coding RNA, 643 nt
Filed under: Phoenix dactylifera (date palm)
Lineage: Eukaryota; Viridiplantae; Streptophyta; Magnoliopsida; Arecales; Arecaceae
Description: long non-coding RNA (PDAC_LNC002312)
Source: RNAcentral